This 1034-nucleotide long non-coding RNA is filed under the name Olea europaea subsp. europaea. The record is from RNAcentral. Lineage: Eukaryota; Viridiplantae; Streptophyta; Magnoliopsida; Lamiales; Oleaceae.
CGUGAGUUUAUUUUCUUUAUUAUUUGGUAGAUUCCAAAUUGCUCGUUCUUAAGGUUUUCGCUUGAAUUCCUUUUUUUCGCUGCGGCAGAAAAGAGUUUUUUGUCAUUACUUCCUGUUUCUUAAGAUCUCCCAAGUCUUUCAAUUUUCUUUUCAAUAGAGUAUGCUCAUGCUGCUUUUUCUCAAGUAAAGUCUCGACCACAUGCAUCUAUUCAAGAAUUUUCAGUUGCUUAUCAAGGAGAGAGAGUGUUUCCCCUCUGUACAUGCCAUUCAUGCUGUCUGCUUGAGGAAUCAGGUGGAUCCGCUGAGGUCGACUCAAUAGCACAAGAAUGCUUAUCUGUGCAAAUAAUAUAUUUAUGGUGAACAUUUAACAAACAAGGAAAGCAAUAGUGGUAUCAUGCCACGCAGUAGAAAAACCAGGCCAUACUAAUUCCACGAGUAAAAUUAAAUGCUAACGAUAAAAUACGAGGCUAGAGACUCAAUAUGAAUAGAACGACAACGCCCUUCAUCACAUGAUUCAAGCAUAUGAAUUGGAAACAGGCACGAUAUAUAUACAUGCAUUUGUACGGGCGUACAUAAAUCUUGGUAGACAUAUAUUAUAAAGAUGAUUUUAAGUGUACCUGCAUUAGAAGGAGAAUCAAAGCAACCUAAUGAGGACAUCAUCUAUUUUAUUUCUAGUUAGACUUUAUUUUUGUUUUGGAUUCUUAUUUAUAUAACCGGGCUUGUAUUGGCCCAAACCCGUUCUAAUUAGGGUUUUGUUUUUCUACUAUUUAAACCUAAUUUGCUAUGUAAUUUUAGUAGUUGAUGAUUGAAUAAAAUUAUUGUGGUGGCUUGUGGCAAUUUUUUCUCUUCUCCCCAUCUUUCAUCUAGUGGUUCUUCUAUUGAUUCUUCUUCUACCAUCCCUUCCCCUAAAUCCUUCUUCAUGUUAAUUGGUUUUCUCAUUUUCCAUUUAAUAUUUCUAUAGGUGCUACAUCAAAUUUGGUAUCAGAGCCAAAACUUAGAUAAUUUCUCAUCUACAAUCCAAAACUUUCCUUUCA